RNAcentral lists this small nucleolar RNA (107 nucleotides) under Gossypium hirsutum (cotton). RNAcentral describes it as "Plant small nucleolar RNA R71". It matches the Rfam family "Plant small nucleolar RNA R71". From Rfam's summary of the family: R71 is a member of the C/D box family of snoRNAs containing the C (UGAUGA) and D (CUGA) box motifs. Multiple nearly identical copies of this snoRNA have been identified in Arabidopsis, and it is thought to function as a 2'-O-ribose methylation guide for 18S ribosomal RNA. The record is from Rfam by way of RNAcentral. Lineage: Eukaryota; Viridiplantae; Streptophyta; Magnoliopsida; Malvales; Malvaceae.
AACCCAUGGUGAGGGCAUCUUCUUAAAAUGUCCUUGUAUUUCUCUCAUGCAUCAUAGAGUAUUUCUAAAUCCAUCUACACAAAAAAAAGAGAUAUCAUUAUGCAAUU